This 67-nucleotide small RNA is filed under the name Solibacillus silvestris StLB046. Its description in RNAcentral is "Bacillaceae-1 RNA". It matches the Rfam family "Bacillaceae-1 RNA". Lineage: Bacteria; Bacillati; Bacillota; Bacilli; Caryophanales; Caryophanaceae. The record is from Rfam by way of RNAcentral.
GACUUAGGAACAAAAGCUAAAAGCGCCACGUCCUGUGGCAACGCUUUUGUGACCAACAUCGUGUUGG